This 459-nucleotide long non-coding RNA is filed under the name Gallus gallus (chicken). Lineage: Eukaryota; Metazoa; Chordata; Aves; Galliformes; Phasianidae. The record is from RNAcentral.
UCUCCACCCGCUCCUUCUCCUUGCUGGCAACACCCUUGAUGAGCUCCACCAUCUUCCUGGUCUGUGCGAUGGUCACAGCCAGCUCCUCCAGCUCGUUGUCCACACUGCUGAGGAAUUUGGCUCGCUGGGCCUCCUUCAGCUCGCGCUCCUUCUCGAGGGACACCACGUCGUGGCCGCGGUGCUCGUUGGCGCGGCAGCGGACGCACACGCAGGUCUGCUCGGCCCGGCAGAAGCCGUCGAGGGGCUGCAGGUGCCGCGGGCACAGCCCUUCUUCCAAGCGCCGCAACGGGGCUACGAGGCGGUGCGAGCGGAACGCGGGGGAGCGGCGGUGGGGCUCCAGGUGGGCCCCGCAGAAGGACGCCAGGCACACCAGGCACGAGCGGGCAGCCGCCGCCCGAUCGCCCUCGGGGCACACGUCGCACAGCACCGCCGCAGUCCCCUCCUCCAGCUCCGCUUCUC